CUCCUCAAUCUGCUGCGGGCAGAUAUAGUGAACAUGGGUGUCGAUGCCACCAGCAGUGAUAAUUUUCCCCUCUGCAGCAAUGAUAUCCGUGUUGGAUCCAAUCACCAGAGCCGGGUUCACCUCAUCCAUCACAUCAGGAUUACCGGCUUUUCCGAUCCCCACAAUGACCCCGUCUUUCACUCCGAUAUCAGCUUUGAAGAUUCCACUCCAGUCAAUGACUAAUGCAUUGACCAAAACCAGGUCCGCACACUCGUCGUCUGCUCGUCCAGCAGCUUGUCCAAUUCCGUCGCGCAAAG
Small RNA from Penicillium chrysogenum, 296 nucleotides. It matches the Rfam family "5' ureB small RNA". The record is from Rfam. Lineage: Eukaryota; Fungi; Ascomycota; Eurotiomycetes; Eurotiales; Aspergillaceae.